UACAGAGGGUGCAAACGUUGCUCGGAAUUAUUGGGCGUAAAGCGCGUGUAGGCGGCUUGUUAAGUUGGUUGUGAAAACCCAUGGCUCAACCAUGGAAGGGCGUCCAAAACUGGCAAGCUAGAGUCCCGACGAGGAUGGCGGAAUUCCCAGUGUAGAGGUGAAAUUCGUAGAUAUUGGGAGGAACACCGGUGGCGAAGGCGGCCAUCUGGGAGGGCACUGACGCUGAGACGCGAAAGCGUGGGGAGCAAACGGG
Molecule: ribosomal RNA, 253 nt
Filed under: uncultured bacterium
Lineage: Bacteria
Description: partial 16S ribosomal RNA
Rfam family: Bacterial small subunit ribosomal RNA
Source: RNAcentral